RNAcentral lists this ribosomal RNA (486 nucleotides) under uncultured soil bacterium. Its description in RNAcentral is "bacterial SSU rRNA". It matches the Rfam family "Bacterial small subunit ribosomal RNA", at positions 102 to 633 of the family's 1533-position model. The record is from RNAcentral.
ACGGGUGAGUACGCGUGGGAACGUGCCCUUCGGUUCGGAAUAACUUGAGGAAACUUAAGCUAAUACCGGAUACGCGAGAGGAAAGAUUCGCCGAAGGAUCGGCCCGCGUCCGAUUAGCUAGUUGGUGAGGUAACGGCUCACCAAGGCGACGAUCGGUAGCUGGUCUGAGAGGAUGAUCAGCCACAUUGGGACUGAGACACGGCCCAAACUCCUACGGGAGGCAGCAGUGGGGAAUAUUGGACAAUGGGCGCAAGCCUGAUCCAGCCAUGCCGCGUGAGUGAUGAAGGCCCUAGGGUUGUAAAGCUCUUUCGCCAGGGACGAUUGACGGUACCUGGAUAAGAAGCCCCGGCUAACUUCGUGCCAGCAGCCGCGGUAAUACGAAGGGGGCUAGCGUUGUUCGGAUUUACUGGGCGUAAAGCGCACGUAGGCGGAUCUUUAAGUCAGGGGUGAAAUCCCGAGGCUCAACCUCGGAACUGCCUUUGAUAC